UCUCAGUUCGGACUGCAGUCUGCAACUCGACUGCACGAAGCUGGAAUCGCUAGUAAUCGCGGAUCAGCACGCCGCGGUGAAUACGUUCCCGGGCCUUGUACACACCGCCCGUCACACCAUGGAAGUCUGCAAUGCCCGAAGCCGGUGGCCUAACCACUUAUGUGGAAGGAGCCGUCUAAGGCAGGGCAGAUGACUGGGGUGAAGUCGUAACAAGGUAAC
RNAcentral lists this ribosomal RNA (219 nucleotides) under uncultured bacterium. RNAcentral describes it as "partial 16S ribosomal RNA". It matches the Rfam family "Bacterial small subunit ribosomal RNA", at positions 1286 to 1500 of the family's 1533-position model. The record is from RNAcentral.